RNAcentral lists this ribosomal RNA (397 nucleotides) under uncultured bacterium. RNAcentral describes it as "partial 16S ribosomal RNA". It matches the Rfam family "Bacterial small subunit ribosomal RNA", at positions 523 to 918 of the family's 1533-position model. The record is from RNAcentral.
AUACGUAGGUGACAAGCGUUAUCCGGAUUUACUGGGCGUAAAGGGCGUGUAGGCGGUCUUGCAAGUCAGAAGUGAAAUUCCUGAGCUCAACUCGGGCGCUGCUUCUGAAACUGCAGGACUUGAGUGCUGGAGGGGAUAGCGGAAUUCCUAGUGGAGCGGUAAAAUGCGCAGAUAUUAGGAAGAACACCGGUGGCGAAGGCGGCUAUCUGGACAGUAACGGACGCGGAGGCGCGAAAGCGUGGGGAGCAAACAGGAUUAGAUCCCCUGGUAGUCCACGCCGUAAACGAUGAAUACUAGGUGUAGGGGGUAUCGACUCCCUCUGUGCCGCAGUUAACACAAUAAGUAUUCCGCCUGGGGAGUACGGCCGCAAGGUUGAAACUCAAAUGAAUUGACGGGG